This 905-nucleotide long non-coding RNA is filed under the name Bos taurus (domestic cattle). RNAcentral's name for it is "long non-coding RNA NONBTAT024412". The record is from RNAcentral. Lineage: Eukaryota; Metazoa; Chordata; Mammalia; Artiodactyla; Bovidae.
CCUUUUUCUUCUUUUAAUUUUGUUCAGCAUUAAAGGAGGGAACUUCAUAAACAUUGAUUGUCAUUUACAGAAAACAUUCAGAAAUCAUGUGUGCAUUAUCCAGGGAAUGCUAACAGUAUUCAACUAAUAAUUUACAGGACAUAAAAUAAGGACAAAAACCUAUUACAUUCUAAAGUAAUAUAAAACUCUUUUUUUUAAUUGUUAGGGAGUGCUGUUUUAUUCUAGUAUAUUUAUAAUAAAAAAAACUCAAUGCUUACUUCCUAAAUGACUCAGGCUGCAGUUUUACUCACGUACACAGAAAUUAGGGCUUACAUAUUAAACAAGGAGAGAGAGACCAGAAAAGUGUAGAUUUUAAAACUACGUAUGUCACUGGGUUUAUUUGUAGUUUGCCUUUUGCCCCUAUCAGCCAAUAAUAAUGCAUGUAAUAAUGUAAGUUAAGCUCCAGAAAAAUCAAAGCCUCUAGGAGGCAUGAUUUCUUUAAAAAAAGAAUAUAAUUAUUACGCUUUUUAGAGUGAAUACUUUUAUUUUACAUAGUCUGGCAAUGCAGGCUGUAUGCGUUGCUAACAAUGACACCCGUGCUGGUAAGAGAUGCAGGCUGCACAUCGCAGGUGCAGUGGCGGCUGGUAGGUACAGCCAAGCCCCACACCACAUGGUUUCAACACUGGAGGACUCAGACCUCUGCUCUCUACUUGACACGUGUGGGCUGGAGCUCAGGUAAAAACAUUAAAUCUCUGAAUGUUGGAAAUACAUGAAAAUUAUUUCUCUCAGUCCUAAAAGCAAGGAAUUAUUGUCAGGGAUUUCAAAAAUAUUGGAAAGUCUCAUUUAAAUCUAAAUAUCUUUUUUAUUAUAAAUCAAUCAUCAUAAAAUAUUAGCCUUUUAAAGUUGUGUUUGGGAUGCAGGAAAAG